ACGGGAGGCAGCAGUGAGGAAUAUUGGUCAAUGGUCGGAAGACUGAACCAGCCAAGUCGCGUGCAGGAAGACGGUCCUAUGGUUUGUAAACUGCUUUUGUACGGGAAUAAAGUUCAGGACGUGUCCUGUUUGGAAUGUACCGUAAGAAUAAGGGUCGGCUAACUCCGUGCCAGCAGCCGCGGUAAUACGGAGGACCCGAGCGUUAUCCGGAUUUAUUGGGUUUAAAGGGUGCGCAGGCGGAGGAUUAAGUCAGAGGUGAAAUUCUCAUGCUCAACAUGAGAACAGCCAUUGAUAAUGGUCCACUUGAGAGAUGGCGAGGAUGGCGGAAUGUGAUGUGUAGCGGUGAAAUGCUUAGAUAUGCCACAGAACACCGAUUGCGAAGGCAGCUGUCCAGAGAUCAUCUGACGCUGAGGCACGAAAGCAUGGGUAUCAAACAGGAUUAGAUACCCUGGUA
Molecule: ribosomal RNA, 454 nt
Filed under: uncultured Porphyromonadaceae bacterium
Lineage: Bacteria; Pseudomonadati; Bacteroidota; Bacteroidia; Bacteroidales; Porphyromonadaceae
Description: partial 16S ribosomal RNA
Rfam family: Bacterial small subunit ribosomal RNA
Source: RNAcentral